GAAGUACACUUCAAUAGAUUUUGGUCUCUUUGAACUGUAGAAAAGCUUUGAUUAGGCCUCCUUGACUGCAACAGCCUCUUUGACCUCGGCGGCGGCUUCACUGCUCUUCUCCUUGACAGGUUCUUCCUUGGCAGGUUCCACUUCCUCUGGGACUACAAAAGCUGAGACUGGGAAAGUCCUGGAAAGUGUGGUUGGGGACUUAAACGUGAUCUUCUCCUUUUCCUCUGUAUAGAUCUCACUGACACUGACCCAAAUAAGAAGCUCCUUGGCCUUGACUCCAGUGAGCUUCUUGAUCUUACCCGUCUGAACCACGGCCGUGACCUCGGUUCCGUAGGAGACAAGCUUAUCGAUCGUUUCGAACUUGUGGGUGAUGCUCUGUUUCUGCUUCAGCCACACGACACCUGACUCUCUGUCGUACCCAACCUCUUCAAUGGUAGUAAACCAUUGGGCAUAGAUAUUUCUUUGAGGAAGACUUUUGUCUUCUCUCGGCAUAUCUCAUCUCCGGUGUACUUCUCUGCCUUAGCUCUCACCUCCUCUGUGACCAAACCCAUCUCUGCUCUGUUUUUUUAGUUUAAGCUUUACCGCAAAGCUGAAGUUGUGUGUUGUGAUAAGAGGCGACUUAACCUUGUUAUAUAUAGGUUGUGUGGUAUGCGGUGCAUGUAAAAUGCAUUAACGGGCAUGGUUGAGCAGGUUAUGGGUGACUAUAGCAAUCAUCAACACACAACAAUUAUUGUUGUGAACAAUGUAACCUGAAAACGAGAUAUUGCAGCCAAUAUUCCUCCACAUGUGAGAUUAUGUUAUAGUAUUAUUAAUUAUUUGUGAAGUCAGUAGAUAACACUUCAUUGUCAAGAAACUGUAUUUUGUUUACAUUAUAGCAAUAGCAAGUUGUUCACAUUAUAUUUAGAGGUUCUUCUUAUAGCUAAACAUAUGAUAACUCGAAUUAAAUUUUCAAUUGACCAAAAGUUGAGAUGAUGUUGAAACCCUAGGAAUAUCUUUCAAUUUUCCGAUGAUAAAAUCUUCCUCUAAUUCAGGAUCUAAAAUGGGGUUGAGGGAGAUUGUCACAGUCUUUAAACACUUAGAAUUGGCUAGGAUGUAUGUCAAGAAUUCUUCCUCUUCUUCUCUGUGUCCAUAGUAUCUCCAUUCAAAUAUUUUUAGAUGUGACGACAAGCAUCCAGGAAUAGAACUUGGUUGAUUCCAUGAAAGUGGGACAUCCUUGGGUUCAGAGGCAAAUUCCUGUGAAGCAAUGGUGCAUGGCCGUAUGUUAAAAAAAAAGUUACUACUAUUUACCAAAGCUUGAAGAAAAGGAGGGUACGUACAUUAUUAACUACAAGUUCUUCAAGUUUCGGAGUAUUUCCAAGUAAAAGUAAGAGUGGUUCCACGCAGUUUGAUCUACUUGGAUCUACAGAUAACCUAAGAAGUCGAGAAAAUCUUAGGGUGCUACAACGAACAAGCUGUGACAAAACAAACAACAACUUAUAAGUAGAUGCAACAAUGUAAAUCACAACAAGCAAUCAAUAUAUAUAGAUAAACUGAGCUACCAUUUCAUCUUCGAAAGUCAAGACAAGAGACAAGAUCGCCGAAGAAGCUGUUAUGAUCUUGUCAAAAAGAGAUAAACAGUCGACACUAAUAUGUGCCUCCUCAAGACAAGGCAUAUUCCCGAUCGACCAAGAGUGUCUUGAAUAAUCAGUGACGUCAAACUUUAUUAAUGCCGGAGUAUCUAUAACCAAACAACUACCGCUAUCCACUACAUCAGUGUCAUCUAGCAGCCAUGUUGUAUUAUAAUACCAUAACAUCCAUAAAGUAGGCACUUUCACAAUAAAGUUUGUCAGAUUGUCACUCUUCUUUCUUUUCACGAUCAAUAUUCCAAGGACAGGGCAACUAGAUAAGAACCUAGCGAAAGUAUCCUCGUCUUUAUAUACCACACAGGAAAGUUGAAGUAUUUCAAGUGAUGGAAGGCACGAAGGGGAAGAAGAAGAAGGGAAAUCAACAAGAACCUUGUUAGAUAGAGUCAAUUCUUUGAGUGUUUCGCAGGUGUAAAGGCUCUUAGGCAAUGUGGUUGGACCUGCGGACCAGCGAAGCUUGAAUUUUACCACGACCACACCGCGAUCAACAGCCUUUUCAACCCAAUUUCCGACAUUAGCAUCACUAGGACAUCGUCGACCAAGACUAAUAAGCAAUAUUUCUAAGACAGGUGCUUUGUGAAGUUUCAGUGACUUGUCCAAAAACCACCAAAUGCUCUUGCUUUCAAGAUCAUCAUCACCAUCAUCAUUAUCAUCACCACCCCAAUCACGAGCUUGGUUGACAUCAUUGGUUUCAUUGUAAUCAAGGCUAGGCAACAUCAUCCAUAUAUAGCGCCACCUUUUGGACAAAAUCAUGGUGGCUACUGCUUCUUUAAUCGGGACAAGCAACAAAAUCGUCACAAGCAACUCUUCGGGCAAAGCACUGAUCCUGUCUUCACAGUUUAUCUCUUCAAUUUUGGCUUCCGACAUCUUCACGAGGAAAACCCAAGAAUUAAGGAUUCGAAGUAACAAGCAACACAACAAAAUCGUUAUGACCAAAAUAAUAGGAUUGACGUAGCUUAUCUAGCCUAUAUAAAGGAGUUAUAUAAUGAUUUGCAUUCAUUCAUCAGGUUGUGUUUAUAUACAACUAGUUCCUACAUAAAUAAGAAAGAAAUAUAGGCGAUGAAAAAGAAAGAAAUAUUAAUCUCAUCAUGUUUAUUUAGUUUUUUUUUUUUUUGACAUCCAUCAUGUUUAUUUAGUUACUCAUUAAUAGAAUUGAUACAUUUGGCACUAAGAUAAUUAUUAUUUUUUGUUCAAAUUAAGAUAAUUAUCUUUUGCAUGUAGCAAAAACUAAUAGGUAUCAAAUAAAAUUAAACUGUGAACUAAAAUAUAUUUAUGUUAAAAGAUAUAUAGUACUAUCUUGAAUAAGAAAAAAAUCUGUUUUUUUAAUCAAUUAAUUCAAAAAUUUAUUAAUAUUAAGAGAAAAGAAAUUAUAAUAAUUAUUUAUAUAUAUAUCAUCACAAAAUAUAUAUUUUUAUAAAAAUCAUACAAUAGCUAUUUACUGUAAAAAGUAUAAAUUUCUAUAAAUAUAAUUAUACAAUAAAUUACUAAUAUUAUAUAAAAUAAAAUAUAUUUUUUGUAAAAGAAUAUACUUCCAAAAAGUUGUUUAAUUUAUUUCUUUUUUGACUUUUAACAAUAAAUUGUCCCUAUGUUUAUUUUAAUAUUUAUGGCAUGUAAUGUAAUAAUAUAUAUAGUAGAAUUUAUUAUGCUAAUGUAGAAUUUAAGUAAGUAUCCUAUAAAUUUAAUUUGAAAAUUCACAAAAAAAAAUAUAAUAUUGUAUUUUUAUAUUAUAUUAAUAUUUUUAUAUAAAAAUACAUAUUUUAUAUUGGGCCUAAUGGGCUAUAAAGGACACUCAGUUGGGCCUAUGGAUUAGAAUUAAAACGCUAAGAAAACACGCGCAAGAGUUUGAAGAUCUGGAGAAAAAAUUUCUGGGAAAAUUCUGUGUUUCUCGGAGGGAAGAUCCGUAUAUUCCAUAUCCGAAAGGUGUUUCGUUAUUCUUCUGAUCGGCGUCGGGUUGAUCCAGUUGGAUAAUUCGAAAGAUGGAUCCUAACCAGGUGAGAAUGAUUAAUUUCUGAGCUCGAUUGCUUAUCAGAUUCUCGAUUAGCUGCUCGAUCUGGACGUGAUUGUGUUAGAUCUGUGCUCUUCGUAUUCGUAUUAGAACUUGGAAGGCUUGAGCUAGAUAGAAAUGCUAGGUUAAGAAUCGGUUUAAUCGCGAUAAUGCGUAGCGAGAUUAGACUCAGAUGUGAUUAUUCUCGUUUGUUAAUUCAAUGCAGGCACCAGUUGAAAACUAUGCGAAUCCGAAGACGUGUCUCUUCCAUGUUCUCUUCAAGGUAUGAGGAGCCUGAGUAUGAGUCUUUUUAGACUUUUUUAUAAGUGAGGUGGAGAAUGGUAACAUGUUUGUUUUUUUUGGGGGCAGGGUGCUGCGUUGGCGUUUUACAUUCUAUCGGCUCUCUUCUUCAACAGCUUUGUAAUCAUCUUUGUGGUGACUGUUCUUCUUGCGGCGCUUGACUUCUGGGUGGUUAAGAAUGUGAGUGGGCGUAUACUUGUUGGUCUCAGGUGGUGGAACGAGAUCAAUGACUUGGGUGAAAGUGUCUGGAAGUUUGAGUCUCUUGACCAGGAGGUUACCCGCCUUUUUUGCUUAAUAUUUUUACUUUAUUCAAUAGGCUUUUUGAAUACUGAUUCAUUUCGUUUGUGUGCCUGUGUCAGUCGUUGGCUCGGAUGAACAAGAAAGACUCGUGGCUUUUCUGGUGGACGCUUUACCUUGCAGUGAGUAGUUCCUAUCUUAGACUAGACUACAGUUUGUAGCGUAUGUUUAUCACUUAAACCUGUUUCCAGUGCACCUGAAGCUUUAGUUGAGCAUUAGGAGUAAAAAUAGGCAAGAAUGAGCGAAUGGUAAUCAAAUGUUUUAUUACGGUGACGUAUAAGAAUUUCAGAGCAGUCUUAUAGUAUCGUACAUGGACCAUAUAGCUGAGUUCUCUCACCCCACCGACAAGCUGCCGUUUAAAUGAGUUUUAUUUUAUCUAAGAGUUUGUGAGAAUGGUUCUCCUUCUGAGUGGAAUCACAUGCAGAUCACAUUGCAAAAUAGGGAGAAGAAAGUUGGCCAUGUUAUUGUGCAUUUUGAAGUUGCAUUAGUAUAUCCGAUUGACUAAUAGUUGGUAGCUUAAAAAUCUAUAGGCUCAGUUGCAUUACAAACGACCUAUAGAGAGUAAGAAUGAGCCUUGAGAUGGUGGUAGCAAUGGGUUUAGUGUCUAGAGUCAGCAUUACAAACUUGUGAAUAUAUUAUGCUGUCUUUUACCGGAGCUGAAUCUUGUUUUUUUGUUUGUCCUUUCUUCAGGCAGCUGCGUGGUUAGUCCUUGGGAUAUUUUCACUGAUAAGGUUUCAGGCUGACUAUCUGCUCGUUGUCGGCGUUUGCUUGUCCCUCAACGUGGCUAAUAUCAUCGGCUUCACAAAGUGCAAGAAAGGUAAGAUCCAUUCCCGUAUAGCCCUUAUAAUAGUCAAAUGGGCUAUAGAUCAUUAGACUUAACACUUUUUAUUUGGUGGCAGAUGCAAAGAAACAGUUUCAGCAGUUUGCCUCACAGACAAUCGCAUCACGGUUCCAAUCCACGGUACAAUCUGCCUUCACCCUUGUCUGAAAAGAAGAAAAGGUUUGGUGAGAGCAGAGACAGUGUACAAAGAAGAUUUGCCAUAAGCAAACAACAUGUUUUUUGACUGAUUCGUUUUCUCAAUAUACUAUUUUGUAAGGGAUUAAGAAAGAGAUUUAUUAUAUUAUGUCUUCUUACAUGUAUUUUCAUUUUCGACUUACCUUGUUUAAGAAACUUUUUGAGGUUGUAAAACAUUUUGAAAAGAUCUCGAUGUAGCUUUCACUUCAUAGCUUGCUAAUAUGUUUCCAGUGUUCUUGAAGUCACAUACAGAACCAACUUCAAUGUAGUCUAUAGAUAAUUACGGUACUUUUUGUAUAACAGGAUGAUGUUAUUGACAUCUUAUUACAUAUAAAACAUGCAGAAACGAGGGGUAGGUAAUACAUGAGAGUAAGAGCACUGAGAAACACUAACUCUCAAUAGUCUGUUUACAUUGUUGAAGUACACUUCAAUAGAUUUUGGUCUCUUUUAACUGUAGAAAAGCUUUGAUUAGGCCUCCUUGACUGCAACAGCCUCUUUGACCUCGGCGGCGGCUUCACUGCUCUUCUCCUUGACAGGUUCUUCCUUGGCAGGUUCCACUUCCUCUGGGACUACAAAAGCUGAGACUGGGAAAGUCCUGGAAAGUGUGGUUGGGGACUUAAACGUGAUCUUCUCCUUUUCCUCUGUAUAGAUCUCACUGACACUGACCCAGAUAAGAAGCUCCUUGGCCUUGACUCCAGUG
RNAcentral lists this long non-coding RNA (5918 nucleotides) under Brassica rapa (field mustard). RNAcentral's name for it is "long non-coding RNA (BRAP_LNC006193)". The record is from RNAcentral. Lineage: Eukaryota; Viridiplantae; Streptophyta; Magnoliopsida; Brassicales; Brassicaceae.